Molecule: transfer RNA, 92 nt
Filed under: bacterium HR28
Lineage: Bacteria
Description: tRNA-Glu
Source: RNAcentral
CUUCGCGUAGGAGAGGACGCGCUUCAGGGCGCUCUCGACAGCCUGCUUCCAGUCGCGGUCCUGGUCCAGGAGUUCGGCUCCCCACUCGUAGA